Molecule: ribosomal RNA, 775 nt
Filed under: uncultured Neocallimastigales
Lineage: Eukaryota; Fungi; Neocallimastigomycota; Neocallimastigomycetes; Neocallimastigales
Description: partial large subunit ribosomal RNA
Rfam family: Eukaryotic large subunit ribosomal RNA
Source: RNAcentral
UAUGUGAUCGUCUCUCGCAUAUCAAUAAGCGGAGGAAAAGAAACUAACAAGGAUUCCCUUAGUAACGGCGAGUGAAGCGGGAAGAGCUCAAAUUUGAAAUCUUCAAGGUUCUACCUUGACGAAUUGUAGUUUAAAGAAGUGUUUUCUGUUAGUGGAGUGGCAAAAGUUCUUUGGAAUAGGACAUCAUAGAGGGUGAGAAUCCCGUAUUUGGUCAUUCCUUCUAGCUUUGUGAUACACUUUCAAAGAGUCGGAUUGUUUGGGAAUGCAGUCCAAAAUGGGUGGUAAAUUUCAUCUAAAGCUAAAUAUUGGCGAGAGACCGAUAGCGAACAAGUACCGUGAGGGAAAGAUGAAAAGAACUUUGAAAAGAGAGUUAAACAGUACGUGAAAUUGUCAAAAGGGAAGCGUUUGACACCAGUGUUGUUUUUCUGAAAAUCAAUUAAAGAACUGUUUAUGCUAAGUUGUUUAGACUUUAUCAGCUAAUCUGUUUAGUUUUGAGCUUUUCUUUAAUGCACUUUUCAGUUAACAAGUCAACAUCAAUUUCUUUUGCUGUAAAAAAGCUUGAGGAAGGUGGCUUGAGAUUCGUCUUAAGUGUUUAUAGCCUCUUGCCUAUGCAGUCGGAGAGAUUGAGGUCUGCAGCGUAGAUCCUUCGGGGCUAAAUGCAUUUGUGCUAAGUUAUAGCAUUUUAUAGACAACUUGUUGACUAUGAUUUGUCUUGUAGCUUACUCGCUUAUGUUAUUUUACCUACGCUUAGGAUGUUGAAUCUGUGCGAGACUAC